Molecule: ribosomal RNA, 253 nt
Filed under: uncultured bacterium
Lineage: Bacteria
Description: partial 16S ribosomal RNA
Rfam family: Bacterial small subunit ribosomal RNA
Source: RNAcentral
CACGUAGGGCGCAAGCGUUGUCCGGAAUUAUUGGGCGUAAAGAGCUCGUAGGCGGUCUGUUGCGUCCGCUGUGAAAACUCGGGGCUUAACCCCGAGCCUGCAGUGGAUACGGGCAGACUAGAGGUAGGUAGGGGAGAAUGGAAUUCCCGGUGUAGCGGUGAAAUGCGCAGAUAUCGGGAGGAACACCAGUGGCGAAGGCGGCUCACUGGCCCGGAACUGACGCUGAGACGCGAAAGCAUGGGGAGCGAACAGG